RNAcentral lists this ribosomal RNA (394 nucleotides) under uncultured bacterium. RNAcentral describes it as "partial 16S ribosomal RNA". It matches the Rfam family "Bacterial small subunit ribosomal RNA", at positions 523 to 916 of the family's 1533-position model. The record is from RNAcentral.
AUACGAAGGGUGCAAGCGUUAAUCGGAAUUACUGGGCGUAAAGCGCGCGUAGGCGGUUCGUUAAGUUGGAUGUGAAAGCCCCGGGCUCAACCUGGGAACUGCAUCCAAAACUGGCGAGCUAGAGUAUAGCAGAGGGUGGUGGAAUUUCCUGUGUAGCGGUGAAAUGCGUAGAGCUCGGAAGGAACACCAGUGGCGAAGGCGACCACCUGUGCUAAUACUGACACUGAGGGGCGAAGGCGUGGGGAGCAAACAGGAUUAGAUGCCCUGGUAGUCCACGCCGUAAACGAUGUCGACUAGCCGUUGGGAUCCUUGAGAUCUUAGUGGCGCAGCUAACGCAUUAAGUCGACCGCCUGGGGAGUACGGCCGCAAGGUUAAAACUCAAAUGAAUUGGCGG